This is a long non-coding RNA of Mustela lutreola (European mink), 2420 nucleotides long. RefSeq lists it as uncharacterized. NCBI's taxonomy places the organism in Eukaryota, Metazoa, Chordata, Mammalia, Carnivora, Mustelidae. The record is from RefSeq and is a predicted model, not a curated record. The transcript has 2 exons.
UCUGCAGGACGGGGCCGGAGAGUCGGCGGGGCGUGGGGGACACCCCCCCCCCCCCGCAAGGGACCCAGCCAGGAGAGGGGCCGCCGCCCCGCCGGAGCACAGUCCCGACAGCCAGCGGCCCGGCCGGAGGCCCCCGGAGGCCAUGCCACAAGCCAGCCAGCCGGACACGUCCGGAGCUGGCAGGACGCCUCCCAACCCGCGCGGCCGCGGUGGACAGCAGUUCAGCAGGCUCUCGGGGCCAAACGUGCUUUUACCACGUGAAGUGAGGGCAACGCCCUCCCGAGAACCUAACCCAGAGAGAGGGAAGACGUGCGCCCACAGGGACUCGUCGGGAACGCCCAGAGCGCCCACACCUGUGAUGUCCAAAUGUCUUCAACGGGGACACGGAACACAAAGGAAACCCUAUUUUCAUAGACUACCAUUAACCACUGGGACUCUGCCUUCUCCGGGGGAGCAUCUGCAGACCCCGCCACUCCAUUCGUGGCUCUGUCCAGUGGCCAUCGGCUCCUGGCAUGGGCUGCUCACAGGACUGCAGUCCUGGAAAGGUCAGGGCUGCUCGCAGGGAAGAACCACGUGCCAUGUGCAGUGACAGGUGAGGAUGACCACAGGGGUGCUGCUUCUAGCCUGCCUGACUUUCAUAUUUUGACAUUUCUCCUUUAUGACAAUGAUGCAGAAUGACCAUAGCUCUUCUCGUGUCAUCAGCUACACAGAGCCCUUGGCUACUUAACUCUAGGACAACCUAACCUGAGACCUAGCCUCUGGCUUCUAGGCAGAGGACGGAGCCAUGGAGCCAUGGAGUCAUGUGACCACAGCUGGCAGCCGGCGGAGCUGGACUUGGGACCCACGUCUGUCCCCAGCCUGGGCUCUAAGCCUUGCCUAAGGCAGGAGGGAGCCACACCCUCACGAGUCGAAGUCUGCCUAGCCUGAGGGAGGGGGAGGCCUCUGGCCUUUCCUCUUGUUUCCCACACCUGCAGCCCAAGGGGACUGGCUUGAGCAGAGCGGAAGGACAUGGGGAGUCAGUGUUGGGCAGGGGACAGGCACAAGACAGCCUUCUCUAUCCCGCAGAAAUGCCUCAGAACACACCCUGGCCAGUGUGGGGAGAGGGGCUCCAACAGAGCCAAGUUCCAGUCUACAAAACCCCAGUCCACCCUUGGAGGUGGUCUUAUCUCUGCUUAGCCGGGCAAGAAUCACAAGCCCAAGUCAUGAGUCAGAGGGCAAAAGACCAGGGCCAGGUGGAGUCCCCUAUGGCAGUGGGACCCCCAUCAGGACUACUGGGCUGGCAAGAACCACAGGUCACACAAAUUCCCAUCGAUUCUUUCUUGGCCAGAGGUAGAGGUCAGAAAGGAGAUUGUGGGAGAGAUUCGUGUCCAUUCUCUACGCCACGGCCACUGCUGACCCAGGCGUGGCUGUGACCUGGUCUCUCCAUCAGAGACCACUCUACAACCCGGGGCAGACAGAGGGGCCCUGUAGGCCAGCCCCUGUUCCAGUGCAUCUUGGAGCAGCACCACAACCCACCAUGCCUCUCCCUCUUGCUCCUGGGAGCUCGCCUAAGCCAGCACCACGUCAGUUAAAGGGUUAACUCCAACAGGAGCCUCUCAUCUGACAGCUGCUCUGUUAAAAGCUUCUCUGUGUUCCAGCCCAGACACUGGAAACCGCUCGAAAGGCAGAGAGCUCUUGCUUUCCCAUAAGGAACAAUCUGGGCAGCCAGCCAGGGUCUGAGAGCCUCCAGGCCUACCUGCCCACAGCGUUUUGGGAACUGAGCAGGCUCCCAACAGGCCAGCUGGGGCGAAUAGCCUGCUAACUGAGGGGCUUGGAGAGAGAAGGGACCGAGACUGCCGGACGGUGUCCACAGGAGGCUGGUAGCAGGAAUCUGGGUUAGCACAGCGAGUGGCCCCCUACAGUAGUUUCUGGAGUGGGGCUCCAGGGUUAGUCUGUAAGAGCGCAGACUGGACCCCCACAAACAAGGCUCCUUGUAAAUAUCAUCAGAACUGCUAAGAGAUCUCCUUUGGGGCAGCAGGUGGCCACGGCACAUUCAUGUGGGGACUCUGGGUAACAGGGGCCACCCUGGGAUCACUGUCUGAACGGCAGGGGACUGUUCCUAGGCUUUGGAUAAACAAAGUCUCCAGAGUACUCUGCCAGCUGCGGCAAUGCUGUCUUCUUCCCAGACCCAACUACGGAAGCAACAUGGUCUGAGAGCCUCACCACGGAGGCAGUGUGCCACCAGGAAGUGUGUCUUAUCACUGACAGCAGUAAGAUCGUCAGCAUGUGCUGGGAAGAAAAAGCAGGAAAACUCUGGGACGGCGCUAUUAUCGUUUUGCGAUUCUCCACGACAGACUAUAUGGCCUCUUUGCCGUGACCAGCCCCCCACCCUUGGUAUAAUGCUGUGUUCAGUACAUAAACACACGUUUGUAUAAAGCUUU